RNAcentral lists this transfer RNA (82 nucleotides) under Canis lupus familiaris (dog). It matches the Rfam family "tRNA". Rfam says of the family: Transfer RNA (tRNA) molecules are approximately 80 nucleotides in length. Their secondary structure includes four short double-helical elements and three loops (D, anti-codon, and T loops). The record is from Rfam by way of RNAcentral. Lineage: Eukaryota; Metazoa; Chordata; Mammalia; Carnivora; Canidae.
GCCUGGGUGGCUCAGUGGUUGAGCAUCUGCCUUUGGCUCAGGUUGUGACCCCGGGUUCCAGGAUCAAGUCCUGCAUCAGGCU